This 498-nucleotide small RNA is filed under the name Pan troglodytes (chimpanzee). RNAcentral's name for it is "retained intron". The record is from RNAcentral. Lineage: Eukaryota; Metazoa; Chordata; Mammalia; Primates; Hominidae.
UCUUAUGGAAGAGAAGGUAAAUUUUACUGGUGCUUUAAUUUGGGAUUUUUUUACAGCAGGGUUUUGUUUUUCUGGCUUUGUUCUUACCUCUUUUUUUUUUUUUUUUAACUCUGUUUAUUUGUGGUUGUUUCUAAAGGGUUACCAGGUGCCUGUUCUUGGAACCCCAUCUUUGCUUGGACAGUCAUUAUUGCAUGGACAGUUGAUCCCCACAACUGGUCCUGUAAGAAUAAAUACUGCUCGUCCAGGUGGUGGUCGACCAGGCUGGGAACAAAGUAUAAACCGUGGGCGACACCACAGCGAAAGAUCACAGAGGACUCAAGGCCCGUCACUACCAGCAACUCCAGUCUUUGUACCUGUUCCACCACCUCCUUUGUAUCCGCCUCCUCCCCAUACACUUCCUCUCCCUCCGGGUGUUCCUCCUCCACAGUUUUCUCCUCAGUUUCCUCCUGGCCAGCCACCACCUGCUGGGUAUAGUGUCCCUCCUCCAGGGUUUCCUCC